GGCAAUGUGACUUAGUGGUAGAGUGCUUGCCUGGUAUGCAUGAAGCCCAGGGUUUGAUUCUUCAGUACCA
This 70-nucleotide transfer RNA is filed under the name Dipodomys ordii (Ord's kangaroo rat). It matches the Rfam family "tRNA". From Rfam's summary of the family: Transfer RNA (tRNA) molecules are approximately 80 nucleotides in length. Lineage: Eukaryota; Metazoa; Chordata; Mammalia; Rodentia; Heteromyidae. The record is from Rfam by way of RNAcentral.